Molecule: ribosomal RNA, 490 nt
Filed under: uncultured bacterium
Lineage: Bacteria
Description: partial 16S ribosomal RNA
Rfam family: Bacterial small subunit ribosomal RNA
Source: RNAcentral
AUUGAACGCUGGCGGCAGGCCUAACACAUGCAAGUCGAAUGGUAACAGGAAACAGCUUGCUGUUUCGCUGACGAGUGGCGGACGGGUGAGUAAUGUCUGGGACACUGCCUGAUGGAGGGGGAUAACUACUGGAAACGGUAGCUAAUACCGCAUAACGUCGCAAGACCAAAGAUGGAGACCUUCGGGCCUCUUUCCAUCAGAUGUGCCCUGAUGGGAUUAGCUAGUAGGUGGGGUAACGGCUCACCUAGGCGACGAUCCCUAGCUGGUCUGAGAGGAUGACCAGCCACACUGGAACUGAGACACGGUCCAGACUCCUACGGGAGGCAGCAGUGGGGAAUAUUGCACAAUGGGCGCAAGCCUGAUGCAGCAAUGCCGCGUGUAUGAAGAAGGCCUUCGGGUUGUAAAGUACUUUCAGCGGGGAGGAAGGGAGUAAAGUUAAUACCUGUGCUCAUUGACGUUACCCGCAGAAGAAGCACCGGCUAACUCCGUG